RNAcentral lists this transfer RNA (79 nucleotides) under Candidatus Bathyarchaeota archaeon. RNAcentral's name for it is "tRNA-Arg". It matches the Rfam family "tRNA". Rfam says of the family: Transfer RNA (tRNA) molecules are approximately 80 nucleotides in length. Their secondary structure includes four short double-helical elements and three loops (D, anti-codon, and T loops). RNAcentral also lists the same sequence under 1 other name. Lineage: Archaea; Thermoproteati; Candidatus Bathyarchaeota. The record is from RNAcentral.
GGGCCCGUAGCUCAGUACGGACAGUAGCGUCGGCCCUCUAAGCCGAAGGUCGCGGGUUCAAAUCCCGCCGGGCCCGCCA